UUGCUCACUUUGGCAGCAAAUGUACUGCAAUUGGAAUGACAAAUAGAAGAUUUGCAUGGCCCUUGUGCAAGGAUCACCCAUAAAUUCAUAAAGUGUCUAUGUUUUUU
Choloepus hoffmanni (Hoffmann's two-fingered sloth) is the source of this 107-nucleotide small nuclear RNA. Lineage: Eukaryota; Metazoa; Chordata; Mammalia; Pilosa; Megalonychidae. The record is from Ensembl.